UGGGGAAUAUUGCACAAUGGGGGAAACCCUGAUGCAGCAACGCCGCGUGAGCGAAGAAGGCCUUCGGGUUGUAAAGCUCUGUCUUCCCUGACGAUAAUGACGGUAAGGGAGGAGGAAGCCACGGCUAACUACGUGCCAGCAGCCGCGGUAAUACGUAGGUGGCGAGCGUUGUCCGGAAUUAUUGGGCGUAAAGGGUGCGUAGGCGGUUUUUUAAGUGGGAUGUGAAAUCCAUGGGCUUAACCCAUGAAUUGCAUUCCAAACUGGAAAGCUUGAGUGCAGGAGAGGAAAGCGGAAUUCCCAGUGUAGCGGUGAAAUGCGUAGAUAUUGGGAGGAACACCAGUGGCGAAGGCGGCUUUCUGGACUGUAACUGACGCUGAGGCACGAAAGCGUGGGGAGCAAACAGG
Molecule: ribosomal RNA, 404 nt
Filed under: uncultured bacterium
Lineage: Bacteria
Description: bacterial SSU rRNA
Rfam family: Bacterial small subunit ribosomal RNA
Source: RNAcentral